This 314-nucleotide ribosomal RNA is filed under the name uncultured bacterium. RNAcentral describes it as "bacterial SSU rRNA". It matches the Rfam family "Bacterial small subunit ribosomal RNA", at positions 28 to 334 of the family's 1533-position model. The record is from RNAcentral.
GAUGAACGCUAGCGGCGAGGCUUAACACAUGCAAGUCGAGGGGCGAGCGAGUAGAGUAGCAAUACUUUGAUGGCGACCGGCGGACGGGUGCGUAACGCGUAUGCAACCUACCCUUUACAGGGGGAUAACACUGAGAAAUUGGUACUAAUACCCCAUAAUAUUUCGGGAGGCAUCUCUUGGAGUUGAAAGCUUCGGUGGUAAAGGAUGGGCAUGCGUUGUAUUAGCUAGUUGGUGAGGUAACGGCUCACCAAGGCGACGAUACAUAGGGGGACUGAGAGGUUAACCCCCCACAUUGGUACUGAGACACGGACCAA